Molecule: ribosomal RNA, 206 nt
Filed under: uncultured bacterium
Lineage: Bacteria
Description: partial 16S ribosomal RNA
Rfam family: Bacterial small subunit ribosomal RNA
Source: RNAcentral
UGCGUAGGCGGGUCUUUAAGUCAGGGGUGAAAUCCUGGAGCUCAACUCCAGAACUGCCUUUGAUACUGAGGAUCUUGAGUUCGGGAGAGGUGAGUGGAACUGCGAGUGUAGAGGUGAAGUUCGUAGAUAUUCGCAAGAACACCAGUGGCGAAGGCGGCUCACUGGCCCGAUACUGACGCUGAGGCACGAAAGCUGGGGAGCAAACA